AUUGAACGCUGGCGGCAUGCCUUACACAUGCAAGUCGAACGGUAACGGGCCUUCGGGUGCCGACGAGUGGCGAACGGGUGAGUAAUACAUCGGAACGUGCCCGAUCGUGGGGGAUAACGAGGCGAAAGCUUUGCUAAUACCGCAUACGAUCUACGGAUGAAAGCAGGGGACCGCAAGGCCUUGCGCGGACGGAGCGGCCGAUGGCAGAUUAGGUAGUUGGUGGGAUAAAAGCUUAGCAAGCCGACGAUCUGUAGCUGGUCUGAGAGGAUGAUCAGCCACACUGGGACUGAGACACGGCCCAGACUCCUACGGGAGGCAGCAGUGGGGAAUUUUGGACAAUGGGCGCAAGCCUGAUCCAGCCAUGCCGCGUGCAGGAUGAAGGCCUUCGGGUUGUAAACUGCUUUUGUACGGAACGAAAAGCCUUCUUUUAAUACAGGAGGGUCAUGACGGUACCGUAAGAAUAAGCACCGGCUAACUACGUG
Molecule: ribosomal RNA, 482 nt
Filed under: uncultured bacterium
Lineage: Bacteria
Description: partial 16S ribosomal RNA
Rfam family: Bacterial small subunit ribosomal RNA
Source: RNAcentral